This 60-nucleotide small nuclear RNA is filed under the name Mus musculus (house mouse). RNAcentral describes it as "U7 small nuclear RNA". It matches the Rfam family "U7 small nuclear RNA". Rfam says of the family: Animal histone pre-mRNAs are spliced by a different mechanism than nuclear pre-mRNAs and self-splicing introns. The record is from Rfam by way of RNAcentral. Lineage: Eukaryota; Metazoa; Chordata; Mammalia; Rodentia; Muridae.
AAUUUUUCAUAGCUCUUUUAGAAUUUUUCUGGCUUUCUGAUUUUUGAUCAGAAAACCCAA